RNAcentral lists this ribosomal RNA (439 nucleotides) under uncultured bacterium. Its description in RNAcentral is "partial 16S ribosomal RNA". It matches the Rfam family "Bacterial small subunit ribosomal RNA", at positions 339 to 795 of the family's 1533-position model. The record is from RNAcentral.
CUACGGGAGGCUCCAGUGAGGAAUAUUGCACAAUGGGGGGAACCCUGAUGCAGCAACGCCGCGUGGAGGAUGACGCAUUUCGGUGUGUAAACUCCUUUUAUAUGUCAAGAAAAUGACGGUAGCAUAUGAAUAAGCACCGGCUAACUCCGUGCCAGCAGCCGCGGUAAUACGGAGGGUGCAAGCGUUACUCGGAAUCACUGGGCGUAAAGGACGCGUAGGCGGGUUGGAAAGUCAGGUGUGAAAUCCUACAGCUUAACUGUAGAACUGCACUUGAAACUUCUAAUCUAGAGUAUGGGAGGGGGAGAUGGAAUUAGUGGUGUAGGGGUAAAAUCCGUAGAUAUCACUAGGAAUACCUAAGGCGAAGGCGUUCUCCUGGAACAUUACUGACGCUAAGGCGUGAAAGCGUGGGGAGCAAACAGGAUUAGAUACCCCCGUAGUC